Molecule: long non-coding RNA, 697 nt
Filed under: Panax ginseng (ginseng)
Lineage: Eukaryota; Viridiplantae; Streptophyta; Magnoliopsida; Apiales; Araliaceae
Description: long non-coding RNA (PGIN_LNC015226)
Source: RNAcentral
GGGAUUGUGAAGAAAACAAAAUUCCAUGUCUAGAGGUACCAAAUUUACCAACUAACCUAUCUUUCAUAUGAGAAUUAAUAUAUAUAUAUAUAUAUAUAUAUAUAUAUAUAUAUAUAUAUAUAUAUAUAUAUUAUGACUUACGUAGAUGUCUUAAUUUAUAUCAUCGAUCAAUGUGUCAUGUAAAGUAGAGAGAGAGGAGAAAAAGACAAAGGCUUUUCAAAAGCUGGCAAGGUAAUUAAGUCUUUCAUUUUACAUAUUAAGGGUCAGCUAUACAUGCCUUUAAUACAAACAAUAAGAAAGAAAUUCGAAAGGGAAAGAGAAUAUGAUUAAAAGUAAAGAAAUGAACUUUCAGUCAAGUUACAUUAUAAUAUAUAGCAAUUAAAAAAGAUUAAUGCGGCAUAUAUAAUCUAGCUUACUCAUGUGGAUUAAUUAAUCAGCAAACUAAACAAGAGAACUGAUCAUUAAUAUAAUUUUUGUUUGUUUGUUUUAAGUUAAUUGGUGGAUUUUGAUUUUAGGGAAUUAAACAUUAUAAAAUUGCAUGCAUAAGAGACUGUAUAUUGUAACAGAGAUUAUAACCAUUGUACCUCUGCUUUCUUGACAAAUAAAAUCUAGUCUUUCAUAUAUAUAUAUAUAUAUAUAUGUGUGUGUGUGUGUGUGUGUGUGUGUGUGUGUGUGUGUGUGUGUGUGUGUGUGUGUG